RNAcentral lists this ribosomal RNA (467 nucleotides) under uncultured Pelotomaculum sp. Its description in RNAcentral is "bacterial SSU rRNA". It matches the Rfam family "Bacterial small subunit ribosomal RNA", at positions 916 to 1381 of the family's 1533-position model. The record is from RNAcentral. Lineage: Bacteria; Bacillati; Bacillota; Clostridia; Eubacteriales; Desulfotomaculaceae.
ACGGGGCCCGCACAAGCAGUGGAGUAUGUGGUUUAAUUCGAAGCAACGCGAAGAACCUUACCAGGGCUUGACAUCCCUUGAAGCAGUUAGAGAUAGCUGUGUCCUUCGGGACAAGGAGACAGGUGGUGCAUGGUUGUCGUCAGCUCGUGUCGUGAGAUGUUGGGUUAAGUCCCGCAACGAGCGCAACCCCUACGUUUAGUUGCUAACAGGUGAAGCUGAGCACUCUAGACGAACUGCCGUUGACAAAACGGAGGAAGGUGGGGAUGACGUCAAAUCAUCAUGCCCCUUAUGUUCUGGGCUACACACGUGCUACAAUGGCCGGUACAGACGGAGGCGAAGCCGCGAGGCGGAGCAAAUCCGAAAAAGCCGGUCUCAGUUCGGAUUGCAGGCUGCAAUUCGCCUGCAUGAAGUCGGAAUCGCUAGUAAUCGCAGGUCAGCAUACUGCGGUGAAUACGUUCCCGGGCCUU